AUUGAACGCUGGCGGCAGGCCUAACACAUGCAAGUCGAGCGGAUGAAGGGAGCUUGCUCCUGGAUUCAGCUGCGGACGGGUGAGUAAUGCCUAGGAAUCUGCCUGGUAGUUGGGGAUAACGUCCGUAAACGGGCGCUAAUACCGCAUACGUCCUGAGGGAGAAAGUGGGGGUUCUUCGGACCUCACGCUAUCAGAUGACCCUAGGUCGGAUUAGCUAGUUGGUGUGGUAAAGGCCUACCAAGGCGACGAUCCGUAACUGGUCUGAGAGGAUGAUCAGUCACACUGGAACUGAGACACGGUCCAGACUCCUACGGGAGGCAGCAGUGGGGAAUAUUGGACAAUGGGCGAAAGCCUGAUCCAGCCAUGCCGCGUGUGUGAAGAAGGUCUUCGGAUUGUAAAGCACUUUAAGUUGGGAGGAAGGGAAGUAAGUUAAUACCUUGCUGUUUUGACGUUACCAAAAGAAUAAGCACCGGCUAACUUCGUG
RNAcentral lists this ribosomal RNA (484 nucleotides) under uncultured bacterium. Its description in RNAcentral is "partial 16S ribosomal RNA". It matches the Rfam family "Bacterial small subunit ribosomal RNA", at positions 30 to 507 of the family's 1533-position model. The record is from RNAcentral.